This 429-nucleotide ribosomal RNA is filed under the name Bacillota bacterium. RNAcentral's name for it is "Firmicutes bacterium partial 16S ribosomal RNA". It matches the Rfam family "Bacterial small subunit ribosomal RNA", at positions 355 to 776 of the family's 1533-position model. The record is from RNAcentral. Lineage: Bacteria; Bacillati; Bacillota.
UAGGGAAUCUUCCGCAAUGGACGCAAGUCUGACGGAGCAACGCCGCGUGAGUGAAGAAGGGUUUCGGCUCGUAAAACUCUGUUGUUAAGGAAGAAUGACAGGCAGAGUAACUGCUGCCUGUGUGACGGUACUUAACCAGAAAGCCACGGCUAACUACGUGCCAGCAGCCGCGGUAAUACGUAGGUGGCAAGCGUUAUCCGGAAUUAUUGGGCGUAAAGCGCGCGUAGGCGGUUUUUUAAGUCUGAUGUGAAAGCCCCCGGCUCAACCGGGGAGGGUCAUUGGAAACUGGGGAACUUGAGUGCAGAAGAGGAGAGUGGAAUUCCAUGUGUAGCGGUGAAAUGCGCAGAGAUAUGGAGGAACACCAGUGGCGAAGGCGGCUCUCUGGUCUGUAACUGACGCGGAUGUGCGAAAGCGUGGGGAUCAAACAGG